AAAGUGACAAAAUAUGGAGAAGCUGAAGAGAUAUGAACACUUUUGCAAGCCACUGUCUAAAUCUGCUCCCUAUAAUUGAUUACUUCUGUUAAUUAUUCAUUGUUUUACCGUGAAUGUUGCUACUAGUUUUUGUCUGUUUUAAUAUGUGUUCUGGCGAACUGCCAGGUAGCCACUCCCCUCUGCAGCACCUUUCUGCUGCACCUUUCUACAGCAGAAGGCUUCUCUCCUGGUUAGUGAUGAGAACUAGGUGGACUCAAUCUCCUAGCGAUCAGAGAGUGCAGGUACUUUUGGUGUGACUGACGUCUCACUCCUGAUAGAAGAAGCGCCACAGCAUGAGAAGCAAACAGUGCUGGUAGCACAUGAAUUCAGAACUGUGCAAAGGUUUUCUACAAACUGUGAAGGACGGCCGGUAAGCCUCACAAUGAGGUUGCUCAUUUCCUGAGUCUCAUUGGAGCAGCACAUGGACUCUGAUUGAUUGUUGUACGGAACAGUUUUAAUAUUCAAAUCAAAUCAAGUUUUUCACCUAUGUGGCUGGAAGGCUAAAAACUAUGAUGACCAUCAUA
Molecule: long non-coding RNA, 563 nt
Organism: Xiphophorus couchianus (Monterrey platyfish)
Lineage: Eukaryota; Metazoa; Chordata; Actinopteri; Cyprinodontiformes; Poeciliidae
Exons: 2
Source: RefSeq, a predicted model, not a curated record